Molecule: transfer RNA, 80 nt
Filed under: Sphaerodactylus townsendi
Lineage: Eukaryota; Metazoa; Chordata; Lepidosauria; Squamata; Sphaerodactylidae
Description: tRNA-Pro
Source: RNAcentral
GCCAGUGUAGUUUAGUUAGUAGGAUGUUGGGCUGGGAACUGAGAGACCCAGGUUCAAAUUCCCACUCUGACAUGGAGGCU